This 2014-nucleotide long non-coding RNA is filed under the name Mus musculus (house mouse). RNAcentral's name for it is "long non-coding RNA chr5:151421821-151423835". The record is from RNAcentral. Lineage: Eukaryota; Metazoa; Chordata; Mammalia; Rodentia; Muridae.
AGAUACUAAGUUAUUGUCACUGUGAAAUACUUUGGACUGAGUUGCUUUUACUCUACAUUUAAAAAAAAAAAAAAAAAAAAAGAUGCCUUAGGAAAAAUGGAAGUGCCAGAAUCAAGUCCUAAGGAUUUUUAUUCAGGACACAAACUGAAGCAUUCCUAGGUGAAAGAGGCUGUCCCGGACUCACUUCUUAGGGAAUCUGGUGGUGGGCGUUGAGGGAGAACAUGGGCGGGGAGUUGGAAAGUGUCCAGGCUGCGUUGCAUUUGGACAAGUGCUUGUUUUGCUACUCUCUUAAAGGCUCAAGGGUGGGAGAAUGCCUUCAUACUAGUGACAGAGCUUCAGAGGAUAAGGCUGGGCUCUCAUGCAGUCGGUGUCAGCAUGCCGCCCAGGGUUACAGUGUCCAGAGAGACACUGAUGAACGUGUUUGCUGGGACUGUGGGUGAAAGAGGAUGCUCACAAGUGGUUCUUACUCUUCCCUUUGAAUGGUAGCAUUUUAUAAUUGCAUUCAGUCCUAAAGGUCGUGCUCUCCUUUAAGUCAGUAUUCACUUAGUUUAGUGAGUGAAGAGUGUUAGAAGAGGAGACAGUUAAAACCAGUCACACUAGGAAGUGAGUUCCAGGGCGUAGAUAUCCACAUAAGCCCAGGCUAAGUCACAACUAGGCACCAUCUUUCUCUGGUUACUCCCUAUAAGCAACAGUGGAAAUCCCACUGGUCCAGUAGUCAGUGUAAGUCAGCAGCCAUCUCUAGCCAGUGGCCAGCAGAUAAAGAGGUUGGCAAAAGGUGCACAGAUGCAGGGAGUGAACAAACCCUUGUAGAAACAAACCAAAACUGACCCCUCUGCACAGGGAGAGUCAACAGCAGGGCAAGCCAUAGAGAGUGGCUUCAAUUCCCUCCAGGGUCCUUAAUCCACAUCAUAUUUCUGUAGCUUCUGCUGCUGCCUGAGCUCAGCUGUUGUGAAGCAGGGCAUCUCUGAGAGCACCACUGGGCCUCUGACAUGCCCAGCCUACAGCUUUUACCCCAUCUGGAACCUUGCCCAUGCUCUUUGCCAUAGUAUGAAAAACAUUUUUCACAUGGUCCUUUCCCUGAAUAGUUCUGACUUGCUAACCAUUCCUGGUUACAAAAUCUAAUCACUGUUCUUUGCAUGUAUAGAGAUUCAAAGAUUACUCCUGCCCUGGCAGGCCGACUCAUACUGUGCUCGUAUUUACCCACAGAUGCCUCGGCAAUACUUAGUCAAAAGAACUUCCGGCGCGAGACCUCAUCUGGGUUGGAAAACAUUUAGGUUUCAGUGUUAUGAGGGAACCACAGCUUGCCAUGCGUUCUUUCAAGCAGUAAAAGACAACUUGGGUCUGGGACUGUGGCACAGGCUUUGCUUGGCAUGAGUUCUGACAUGCAGCAUAUCCCACCCAAUCCCUGUGUUUCUGACAAUGUCACCAACACUCAUGCUGAACUUCACUGAGGCAUUCUCUACAGCUGCUUUUCUACUGACAGGACGCAGUAAACAAUCUUUUUCUCUGUUACAGCUUGUGAAGAUAGUCUGUUCCGAUCUAUCUGGAUUUUCAUCUUGGUUACAAGUGGAUGUAUUUUUAAAAUUUUAAUCUCUGGGUAUUUAUUAAACAUAUAUAUCCAAGGCACUUAUAGAUUUGCAUCUUUUGUUUUGUUUUGUUUGUUUGUUUGUUUGUUUGUUUUUAGACAGGGUUUCUCUGUGUAGCCCUGGCUGUCCUGGAACUCACUCUCUAGACCAGGCUGGCUUGAACUCAGAAAUCUGCCUGCCUCUGCCUCCCAAGAGCUGGGAUCAAAGGCUUACGCUACCACCCCCUGGCUAGAUUUGCAUCUUAAGGAAGAAUUAAAAAUAGAAUUUUGUUACAAGUCACCUCACCUCUCCGGAGUUGCUAUUCGCACCCCCUGCAUGCACUGAGCAGCUCCCCAAUAAUAUCAGAAUGGAGCUAAUGUGCUAUGCAAGUUCAAGUGUUAUGUCUAUUGCAUUUCCUUAAUUUACUGUUUUCUACUAGUUUGGCCAGA